AAGGAGCUUGCUCCUUUGACGUUAGCGGCGGACGGGUGAGUAACACGUGGAUAACCUACCUAUAAGACUGGGAUAACUUCGGGAAACCGGAGCUAAUACCGGAUAACAUAUUGAACCGCAUGGUUCAAUAGUGAAAGGCGGCUUUGCUGUCACUUAUAGAUGGAUCCGCGCCGUAUUAGCUAGUUGGUAAGGUAACGGCUUACCAAGGCAACGAUACGUAGCCGACCUGAGAGGGUGAUCGGCCACACUGGAACUGAGACACGGUCCAGACUCCUACGGGAGGCAGCAGUAGGGAAUCUUCCGCAAUGGGCGAAAGCCUGACGGAGCAACGCCGCGUGAGUGAUGAAGGUCUUCGGAUCGUAAAACUCUGUUAUCAGGGAAGAACAAAUGUGUAAGUAACUGUGCACAUCUUGACGGUACCUGAUCAGAAAGCCACGGCUAACUACGUGCCAGCAGCCGCGGUAAUACGUAGGUGGCAAGCGUUAUCCGGAAUUAUUGGGCGUAAAGCGCGCGUAGGCGGUUUUUUAAGUCUGAUGUGAAAGCCCACGGCUCAACCGUGGAGGGUCAUUGGAAACUGGAAAACUUGAGUGCAGAAGAGGAAAGUGGAAUUCCAUGUGUAGCGGUGAAAUGCGCAGAGAUAUGGAGGAACACCAGUGGCGAAGGCGACUUUCUGGUCUGUAACUGACGCUGAUGUGCGAAAGCGUGGGGAUCAAACAGGAUUAGAUACCCUGGUAGUCCACGCCGUAAACGAUGAGUGCUAAGUGUUAGGGGGUUUCCGCCCCUUAGUGCUGCAGCUAACGCAUUAAGCACUCCGCCUGGGGAGUACGACCGCAAGGUUGAAACUCAAAGGAAUUGACGGGGACCCGCACAAGCGGUGGAGCAUGUGGUUUAAUUCGAAGCAACGCGAAGAACCUUACCAAAUCUUGACAUCCUUUGACCGCUCUAGAGAUAGAGUUUUCCCCUUCGGGGGACAAAGUGACAGGUGGUGCAUGGUUGUCGUCAGCUCGUGUCGUGAGAUGUUGGGUUAAGUCCCGCAACGAGCGCAACCCUUAAGCUUAAGUUGCCAUCAUUAAGUUGGGGCACUCUAAGUUGACUGCCGGGUGACAAACCGGAAGAAAGGUGGGGGAUGACGUCAAAUCAUCCAGGCCCCUUAAUGAUUUGGG
This 1163-nucleotide ribosomal RNA is filed under the name Staphylococcus warneri. RNAcentral's name for it is "bacterial SSU rRNA". It matches the Rfam family "Bacterial small subunit ribosomal RNA", at positions 73 to 1213 of the family's 1533-position model. The record is from RNAcentral. Lineage: Bacteria; Bacillati; Bacillota; Bacilli; Caryophanales; Staphylococcaceae.